CCCUGGGAUAGCUCAGGUGAUACAGCAUGGGACUCUUAAUCUCAGGGUUGUGGGUUUGAGCCCCACGUUGGGCA
Podarcis lilfordi (Lilford's wall lizard) is the source of this 74-nucleotide non-coding RNA. Lineage: Eukaryota; Metazoa; Chordata; Lepidosauria; Squamata; Lacertidae. The record is from the annotation of a GenBank genome assembly.